Molecule: transfer RNA, 61 nt
Filed under: Urocitellus parryii (Arctic ground squirrel)
Lineage: Eukaryota; Metazoa; Chordata; Mammalia; Rodentia; Sciuridae
Also listed under: 2 other names
Description: Spermophilus parryii (Arctic ground squirrel) tRNA
Rfam family: tRNA
About the family: Transfer RNA (tRNA) molecules are approximately 80 nucleotides in length. Their secondary structure includes four short double-helical elements and three loops (D, anti-codon, and T loops).
Source: Rfam by way of RNAcentral
UGUGGCUUAAUGGUAGAGCACUUGCCUUGCAAGCACAAGGGUCUGGAUUCAAUCCCUAGCA